Molecule: ribosomal RNA, 790 nt
Filed under: uncultured bacterium
Lineage: Bacteria
Description: bacterial SSU rRNA
Rfam family: Bacterial small subunit ribosomal RNA
Source: RNAcentral
AGAGUUUGAUCAUGGCUCAGGACGAACGCUGGCGGCGUGCUUAACACAUGCAAGUCAUGGGGGCUUGGGGGCAACUCUGAGUAACCGGCGAACGGGUGCGUAACACGUGAGCGACCUGCCUUCUUGCGGGGGAUAGCCGGCCCAACGGCCGGGUAAUACCGCAUACGCGCCUCUUGGGGCAUCUCGAGGGGACGGAAACCGGGCAACCGGGCGGGGAGAGGGGCUCGCGGCCUAUCAGCUAGUUGGUGGGGUAACGGCUCACCAAGGCGACGACGGGUAGCUGGUCUGAGAGGAUGGCCAGCCACAUUGGGACUGAGAAACGGCCCAGACUCCUACGGGAGGCAGCAGUGGGGAAUCUUGCGCAAUGGUCUCACGACUGACGCAGCGACGCCGCGUGUGGGAGGACGCCCUUCGGGGUGUAAACCACUGUUGCCCGGGACGAACCGCUGGUUUCGACCAGCCUGACGGUACCGGGUGAGGAAGCACCGGCUAACUCCGUGCCAGCAGCCGCGGUAAUACGGAGGGUGCGAGCGUUGUCCGGAAUCACUGGGCGUAAAGGGCGCGUAGGCGGCGCGAGAAGCGUGCGGUGAAAGCCCGGGGCUCAACCCCGGGGUCGGCCGUGCGAACUCUCGGGCUUGAGCACUGUAGGGGCAGGCGGAAUUCCGGGUGUAGCGGUGGAAUGCGUAGAGAUCCGGAAGAACACCGGUGGCGAAGGCGGCCUGCUGGGCAGUGGCUGACGCUGAGGCGCGACAGCGUGGGGGGCAAACAGGAUUAGAUACCCUAGUAGUCC